CCGUAGCCAUUUUGGCUCAAGGUACAAGUUGGGCUGUUGCGGUCACGCAGGCCUU
This 55-nucleotide unclassified non-coding RNA is filed under the name Karlodinium veneficum. Its description in RNAcentral is "trans-spliced leader sequence SL-C1b". Lineage: Eukaryota; Dinophyceae; Gymnodiniales; Kareniaceae. The record is from RNAcentral.